This 497-nucleotide ribosomal RNA is filed under the name uncultured bacterium. RNAcentral describes it as "partial 16S ribosomal RNA". It matches the Rfam family "Bacterial small subunit ribosomal RNA", at positions 28 to 507 of the family's 1533-position model. The record is from RNAcentral.
GAUGAACGCUGGCGGCGUGCCUAAUACAUGCAAGUCGAGCGAACAGACGAGGAGCUUGCUCCUUCGACGUUAGCGGCGGACGGGUGAGUAACACGUAGGUAACCUACCUAUAAGACUGGGAUAACUUCGGGAAACCGGAGCUAAUACCGGAUAAUAUUUCGAACCGCAUGGUUCGAUAGUGAAAGAUGGCUUUGCUAUCACUUAUAGAUGGACCUGCGCCGUAUUAGCUAGUUGGUAAGGUAACGGCUUACCAAGGCAACGAUACGUAGCCGACCUGAGAGGGUGAUCGGCCACACUGGAACUGUGACACGGUCCAGACUCCUACGGGAGGCAGCAGUAGGGAAUCUUCCGCAAUGGGCGAAAGCCUGACGGAGCAACGCCGCGUGAGUGAUGAAGGUCUUCGGAUCGUAAAACUCUGUUAUUAGGGAAGAACAAACGUGUAAGUAACUGUGCACGUCUUGACGGUACCUAAUCAGAAAGCCACGGCUAACUACGUG